CUCAGCAUAAGUUGGCACAACCCCUGCAAUAGCCAAAUCGACAAUUUAAUAAAGCGCAGCCAUCAACGAAGACGGUUGCACUUCCCGAUAGAACGGGACUUGGACAAAGGCGUCCUCGCUAGGCCACUAGCGGGACGCC
Pseudomonadales bacterium RIFCSPLOWO2_12_59_9 is the source of this 139-nucleotide non-coding RNA. The record is from Rfam. Lineage: Bacteria; Pseudomonadati; Pseudomonadota; Gammaproteobacteria; Pseudomonadales.